CAGCAGUCAAGAACGGACAAACCAAACACUGGCUGUAGUGAGAGCCUUUCGUGUUUUUAUGUUACCUGAAGACCACCGUAGUUCUCCGAUACGCUUGUGAAACUGCGAUAGCGUGAGCCGCAGAGUUCAAAACCGUUGUACCGCCAGCCGCCGUCUGACUUCUUCUAUGAGAGAAA
Molecule: long non-coding RNA, 176 nt
Organism: Sebastes umbrosus (honeycomb rockfish)
Lineage: Eukaryota; Metazoa; Chordata; Actinopteri; Perciformes; Sebastidae
Exons: 3
Source: RefSeq, a predicted model, not a curated record